CCUACGGGAGGCAGCAGUGAGGAAUAUUGGUCAAUGGCCGGGAGGCUGAACCAGCCAAGUCGCGUGAGGGACGACUGCCCUAUGGGUUGUAAACCUCUUUUAUAUGGGAAGAAAAAAUGCUACGUGUAGCAUUCUGCCUGUACCUUAUGAAUAAGCAUCGGCUAACUCCGUGCCAGCAGCCGCGGUAAUACGGAGGAUGCGAGCGUUAUCCGGAUUUAUUGGGUUUAAAGGGUGCGUAGGCCGGUUUUUAAGUCAGUUGGGAAAGCGCGCGGCUCAACCGUGGAAUUGCAGUUGAAACUGGAGGCCUUGAGUGCACACAGGGAUGGCGGAAUACAUGGUGUAGCGGUGAAAUGCUUAGAUAUCAUGAAGAACUCCGAUCGCGAAGGCAAGUGUCCAGGGUGCAACUGACGCUGAGGCUCGAGAGUGUGGGUAGCAAACAGGAUUAGAUACCCUUGUAGUC
RNAcentral lists this ribosomal RNA (460 nucleotides) under uncultured bacterium. RNAcentral describes it as "partial 16S ribosomal RNA". It matches the Rfam family "Bacterial small subunit ribosomal RNA", at positions 338 to 795 of the family's 1533-position model. The record is from RNAcentral.